Molecule: long non-coding RNA, 980 nt
Organism: Corapipo altera (White-ruffed manakin)
Lineage: Eukaryota; Metazoa; Chordata; Aves; Passeriformes; Pipridae
Exons: 3
Source: RefSeq, a predicted model, not a curated record
AGGGUGGGAAGGAGGGAGGGAGGGGAGGAGGGAGCCGGGCUUGGUGAGUGAACACUGCAGAGCUGCUGCGAGAGGAGCGGGAGGCAGAGCCAGGCCGGCUGGGAAGGGCAGAUUUGCUGAGCCCGCGACAAAAAUGGUUUGAGUAAUUAUCGACGCCUGCCGCUAUGUGGCCAGGAAGAUGAGGACCCUAUGGAGCCGGGAGCCACCGCCCUGCCCGGCACAGGCAGAGCCCCGCGGCCACCGACAGAAUGUAAAGGGUGAGGUAUCAGCACCUCCUGAAGCAACAGCCUCCCUUCCCAGGAACAUCAAACCCAUCCAGUGCAGGUCCUGACAGUAAAACCCUCAAGGUCCUCCCAUGAAGGCCACAAGAUUUCUUCCCACUGAUUUCUCCAGGGAAUCCAUUUGCUGGGAAUCUUGCAGCGCAGGGAUUGGAAAAUAUCAGCAAAUCCCUCCUGUAUCUGCUCUCAACAGAGAAGCACAACGAUAGAAAACAUCUUAAUUGGUCUCCUGUUACCGGAAUUUUCCAGCUGGUAGACAAAAAAAGAAGAUUCCCAAUAUGUAUCAGAUGCUCCUGGCACUUCUGGGCCAUGGAAUACCAGAGGAAGAGCUCGAGCCAUUGCAUCCCAGCAGUGAUUUGGAAUUUUAUCCUGUGAAACCAAUUUGUGCUCCUGAUGAUAUUGGUAUAAAAUUAGACAGUUUCCAUGAAGGUCAAAUCAGUCCCUGAGCUGGAGUGAGGAGUCUGGGAGCUCAGGGCUGUGGAAAUCCCAGGAUGUUUUGUAUGAUCCCUUCCCCCAUGCCCAGUCUGAAUGGGCAACCAGCUCCCCCAGAGCAGAGGCUGCAGGGGCACAGCAGGACCCCCCCGACCCCUGCAGUGUCACAGAGCAAUGACAGCAGAAUCACAAACCUCACACUCGUGGGGGAGACUCUGCCCGACCCCCUCCUGUGACAGCUGAACCAGAAGUAAAGUUGGAUCAAAAGCA